This is a small nuclear RNA of Malus domestica (apple), 131 nucleotides long. The record is from RefSeq and is a predicted model, not a curated record. Lineage: Eukaryota; Viridiplantae; Streptophyta; Magnoliopsida; Rosales; Rosaceae.
GUGUAUGAAAAGAGGAGAGAUUGUUGGCAUCUCCCCUGACAGGGACGGGAACAGCUUUCGAGCUAACCUGCUACCCCACAUACUGUUAAAGCUACCCACCCUUGUGGUAGAUCAAAAUAUACCCAAUUUUU